Molecule: long non-coding RNA, 452 nt
Organism: Leopardus geoffroyi (Geoffroy's cat)
Lineage: Eukaryota; Metazoa; Chordata; Mammalia; Carnivora; Felidae
Exons: 2
Source: RefSeq, a predicted model, not a curated record
CGGGACAUUGUCACCCCACCCCACCCCCACUUUCCUCAGUGACGUGGUUCAUCGGGGGGGAGACCAGGAGACCACACAACCAUCUGCUUUGCUAUUGUGGGAAAUGCAUAUCACAACCCUAAUUAUCCUUGCACCCUGAUCUCAGAUUUUCAUGCCCAGAACUGUGAGAAAUUAGUUCCUGUUGUACAAGGCAUCCAGUUUACGGUGUUUUCUUAUAGUAGCCCAAGUCAAGACAAAAUCUAAAGAAAUUGUGGACUUUGCUAAAUAAUAAUGUACCAACAUGGGUUCAUUAAAUUAUAGUAGAUGUACCAUACUACUGUAAGACGUCAAUAAGAUGGGAAGCUGUGUGCAGCUGUAUAUUGGAACUCUGUAUGAUUGUCCCAAGUUUUUUCUAAAUGUAAAACUGUUACACAAAUUAAGGCCAUUAAAAAAAAGUCAACAUCUUGUCCUCA